GUAAUAUGAUGACAUCAUGCGUGUCAUUUGAGCAUCUUUUGGUGGAUUUGGUGUGCAAGUCCUUGCAAGCGUUCUGCUAGCCUGGACUCGGGCACUGAAACCUGCCAUGGUGUGAAUGAUUGUUGUGAAGUCUGAUUAC
Small nucleolar RNA from Pomacea canaliculata, 139 nucleotides. RefSeq annotates it as small nucleolar RNA SNORD10. Lineage: Eukaryota; Metazoa; Mollusca; Gastropoda; Architaenioglossa; Ampullariidae. The record is from RefSeq and is a predicted model, not a curated record. The transcript has a single exon.